CCUCCCCACAUCAGGGCUUCUCUUGGACACUCUUGUCUGUCAAGACUUGGGGAUACGCUGAGAUGCUUUCCACGCUGUGACUUUGUUGUAGGAGACAUAGAAUGAAAGACUGUGGGAGCUGGAAGGGUUCUUAAAGGUCAUCUGAGCCAGCUCCCUCAUUUUUACAUAUGAGGAAACUGAGGCACAAGCACAUGAAAUCCGUGCUCAGAGCUACAUGUAAACUAAUGGCCCAGCCUCCUCUGAUGGUUCAGUACUAUCCAGUCUGCGUGUAUGGACCACAGGAUCUGCCCCCCCAGUUCUUCCCUCUCCAAGGUGGACAGCAGCAGCCACAGCAGAUUCCGUCUUAUACUGAAUUUGGAUGCAUUACCCCACAAGCAGGAGCUGGAUUACCUGGAGGACAACAGCAGAUGAACAUGGAUCUGUUAAGAGGGGAUGUUCCUGAAACCCUGGGGUGCCAAUAGAGACUGUGCUGCCAUAUCCCCAAGGAGACAAUGUGAACCCUGGAUAUCCUUAUGGUGGGAUUUUCAUGCCUUCCCAUGCUUCUAAGCAUCCAAGAGGCAAUAUUUUGACUUCCUCUACAGAUACAGACAAUACCAUUCCUUUGGAGCUCACAGAGGAAAAGAUCAACCCUGACAUGCUGAAGGAAACAUAAAGUUCUCUCUUCUUGUGGAAUGGAGUUAUUUUGAAGAAAGCUCCUCCACAGAAUCAGGAUAUGACUUAACAGAUGUUAUUGAUUGCUUUGUAACUCCAAAAAUAAUUAUCCCUGGCUCACCAAGACAAAACAAGGACUGAGAAGAUACCGUCAAUGAUAAUUCUUCAGAUAAAAGACUCUCUAUGAGGAUUAGAUGGCGUUAUCCCAUACUAGAGCCUUAUCAAAACUAGACCUGUUCAAGAUUUUCAACUAGAAUAAGAAGAAUCUCAUUACAAUAUAGCUGCCUCUAUAAAGAAGUUUUCUGAAAGAAUAUCUACUGUCUACUUAUUUUUCCAAGUAGCCAAGCUCAUCCCUAGUUCUACACUCAUACUAUUUCAAAAAUUUUCGUCUUUCUUGAUGAAGUAAAGUUAUCUUACCAUAUGUUUCAUUUUAGCCUUUUAUUUAGAUCUUCCAUGAUUAAUGCUGUUUUAUAGAACAUCUUUCACUCUCCUAAAUUCAUUUUUUUGC
This is a non-coding RNA of Phascolarctos cinereus (koala), 1159 nucleotides long. The record is from RefSeq and is a predicted model, not a curated record. Lineage: Eukaryota; Metazoa; Chordata; Mammalia; Diprotodontia; Phascolarctidae.